RNAcentral lists this ribosomal RNA (243 nucleotides) under uncultured bacterium. RNAcentral's name for it is "partial 16S ribosomal RNA". It matches the Rfam family "Bacterial small subunit ribosomal RNA", at positions 90 to 334 of the family's 1533-position model. The record is from RNAcentral.
ACCUAGUGGCGAACGGGUGAGUAACACGUGAGAAACCUGUCCCGGACUCUGGGAUAACUCGGGGAAACCCGAGCUAAUACCGGAUACCCCCGGAGGAUCGCAUGAUCCACCGUGGAAAGUUUUUCGGUCUGGGAGGGUCUCGCGGCCUAUCAGCUAGUUGGUGAGGUAACGGCUCACCAAGGCAAUGACGGGUAGCUGGUCUGAGAGGACGAUCAGCCACACUGGGACUGAGACACGGCCCAG